GACAGAGGGGGCAAGCGUUGCUCGGAAUUACUGGGCGUAAAGGGCGCGUAGGCGGCCGCGCAAGUCGGAUGUGAAAACCCGGGGCUCAACCCCGGGCGUGCAUUCGAUACUGCGUGGCUUGAGACAGGUAGGGGAGAUCGGAAUUCCUGGUGUAGCGGUGAAAUGCGCAGAUAUCAGGAGGAACACCGGUGGCGAAGGCGGAUCUCUGGGCCUGUUCUGACGCUGAGGCGCGAAAGCUAGGGGAGCGAACAGG
Molecule: ribosomal RNA, 253 nt
Filed under: uncultured bacterium
Lineage: Bacteria
Description: partial 16S ribosomal RNA
Rfam family: Bacterial small subunit ribosomal RNA
Source: RNAcentral